AGCAGCCGCGGUAAUUCCAGCUCCAAUAGCGUAUAUUAAAGUUGUUGCAGUUAAAAGGCUCGUAGUUGAACUUCAGGCCUGUCCAGAUGGUCCGCCUUAAUUGGUGUGUACUGUCCUUGGGUGGGUCCUACCUUCUGGCGAAGCGGCAUGGCCUUAAUUGGUUGUGUUGGGGAACCAGGACUUUUACUGUGAAAAAAUUAGAGUGUUCAAAGCAGGCAAAUAUGCUCGAAUACAUUAGCAUGGAAUAAUGGAAUAGGACGAUGGUUCUAUUUUGUUGGUUCUAGGACCGUUGUAAUGAUUAAUGGGGAUAGUUGGGGGCAUUAGUAUUCAAUUGUCAGAGGUGAAAUUCUUGGAUUUAUUGAAGACUAACUACUGCGAAAGCAUUUGCCAAGGAUGUUUUCAUUAAUCAAGAACGAAAGUUAGGGGAUCGAAGACGAUCAGAUACCGUCG
RNAcentral lists this ribosomal RNA (450 nucleotides) under uncultured Paraglomus. Its description in RNAcentral is "bacterial SSU rRNA". It matches the Rfam family "Eukaryotic small subunit ribosomal RNA", at positions 569 to 1020 of the family's 1831-position model. Lineage: Eukaryota; Fungi; Glomeromycota; Glomeromycetes; Paraglomerales; Paraglomeraceae. The record is from RNAcentral.